UACGUAGGGCGCAAGCGUUAUCCGGAAUUAUUGGGCGUAAAGAGCUCGUAGGCGGCUUGGCGCGUCUGGCGUGAAAGUCCGGGGCUCAACUCCGGAUCUGCGGUGGGUACGGGCAGACUAGAGUGAUGUAGGGGAGACUGGAAUUCCUGGUGUAGCGGUGAAAUGCGCAGAUAUCAGGAGGAACACCGAUGGCGAAGGCGAGUAGCUGGACAGCACCUGACACUGAGGCACGAAAGCGUGGGUAGCAAACAGG
This 253-nucleotide ribosomal RNA is filed under the name uncultured bacterium. RNAcentral's name for it is "partial 16S ribosomal RNA". It matches the Rfam family "Bacterial small subunit ribosomal RNA", at positions 524 to 776 of the family's 1533-position model. The record is from RNAcentral.